GCUCAGAAAAACUAGGAACUAGUGCUGCCUUUGGCAUCACAUACAGAAAAGAAUAGCAUGGCCCCUGUGCAAGGAUGACAUGCAAAUUCAUGAAGCAUUCCAUAUUUUG
Choloepus didactylus (southern two-toed sloth) is the source of this 109-nucleotide small nuclear RNA. The record is from RefSeq and is a predicted model, not a curated record. NCBI's taxonomy places the organism in Eukaryota, Metazoa, Chordata, Mammalia, Pilosa, Megalonychidae.